Molecule: long non-coding RNA, 215 nt
Filed under: Elaeis guineensis (African oil palm)
Lineage: Eukaryota; Viridiplantae; Streptophyta; Magnoliopsida; Arecales; Arecaceae
Description: long non-coding RNA (EGUI_LNC032694)
Source: RNAcentral
CUAGUCUUUUAUCUUUUAAGAAGUUUUUGAAAUUGCAUUUGCUUGUUUAUCAAUCACUCUAUGCGUUGUCCCCCUAGUUGACUUGCAUCGCACAUGCUAGUUUGUUUUCUCAUGUACAAACUUCACCUUCGUUUUAGUUUCUUCGUUUGUUUUUCUUUGAGAAAAAGGAAGUGAAUAGCUACCCAUAAUAUAAAUAGUUAGACCCAAAUACCUAC